ACGGCUCAGUAACACGUGGAUAACCUACCGUAAGGUGGGAGAUAACCCCGGGAAACUGGGGAUAAUACCCCAUAGUCUAUGGUGGCUGGAACGCCCUAUAGUUGAAAGAUUUAUCGCCUUAGGAUGGGUCUGCGGCCGAUUAGGUAGUUGUUGGGGUAACGGCCCAACAAGCCUUUGAUCGGUACGGGUUGUGGGAGCAAGAGCCCGGAGAUGGAUUCUGAGACACGAAUCCAGGCCCUACGGGGCGCAGCAGGCGCGAAAACUUUACAAUGCGGGAAACCGUGAUAAGGGAACUCCGAGUGCCCGUAAACGCGGGCUGUCCAUCUGCUUAAAAAACAGGUGAAGAAAGGGCCGGGCAAGACCGGUGCCAGCCGCCGCGGUAAUACCGGCGGCUCGAGUGGUGGCCACUAUUACUGGGCUUAAAGCGUCCGUAGCUUGGUUGUUAAGUCUCUUGGGAAAUCUGUCGGCUUAACCGACAGGCGUUUAAGGGAAACUGGCAAUCUAGGGACCGGGAGAGGUGAGAGGUACUCCAGGGGUAGGAGUGAAAUCCUGUAAUCCUUGGGGGACCACCUGUGGCGUAGGCGUCUCACCAGAACGGCUCCGACAGUGAGGGACGAAAGCUGGGGGAGCAAACCGGAUUAGAUACCCGGGUAGUCCCAGCCGUAAACGAUGCGCGUUAGGUGUAUCGGUGACCACGAGUCACCGAGGUGCCGAAGGGAAACCGUGAAACGUGCCGCCUGGGAAGUACGGUCGCAAGGCUGAAACUUAAAGGAAUUGGCGCGGGAGCAC
RNAcentral lists this ribosomal RNA (789 nucleotides) under uncultured archaeon. RNAcentral describes it as "bacterial SSU rRNA". It matches the Rfam family "Archaeal small subunit ribosomal RNA", at positions 85 to 879 of the family's 1478-position model. The record is from RNAcentral.